CCUUUUAAAUGUAACCUUCAAUAUACAUACUAUGACUCCUUCCUUAUCAGCCCCUUAAAAGUGGAUCACAAGCACGGCUGCUCAAGAGUAGCUGCCAAGGAUGAAAAUCACCUCUUGCAGAUUUCUACUGCUGGACACGUCCUGAGGUGAAAUUGUAAAAAAAGAAUACGGAGGAACAUGGCAUACAUAGAAGUGGCAUGACUGGACCAAAAGGACAAUCUAAUUUUAUGAAAAAUUGUCAUGACAGCAUCAUUGAAGGAAACAAGCACAGAUAUUCCACAUAAUUUUAAACCACUAUGUAAAACAGAAUGAAGUCUGUGAACUUUUUAUUGUUCAACUAUUAUAAUUUUGGGAAAUCUGUUUCUUCACAGUUUAUUAAAGUACAAUAUCCCUAGACAAUCACCUGGUUAUUUUUCAAAUGAAACACACUUUGAGACCCCUAAUGACAACACAGUAAGCUCAUGAGAAGAAGUAGAUUUAUAUUUUUAAAACUUCCUAAAAGAGAAUAGGUAAACUGAACUUGUGUGUAAUUUAUAUAAGACUCAAUAUUUAACUAUUAUGAUUAACUAAGCUGUAAGUUCAAUACAACUAUGUAACUCAAGAAAUCAUGAAAUAAUGAUUGACUGUUUCUCAAAGUGUCUAACUGCUAAUACUGAAAUAAAUGCCAGCAGCUUUCCAGUUAGA
Suricata suricatta (meerkat) is the source of this 684-nucleotide long non-coding RNA. RefSeq lists it as uncharacterized. The transcript is spliced from 2 exons. The record is from RefSeq and is a predicted model, not a curated record. Lineage: Eukaryota; Metazoa; Chordata; Mammalia; Carnivora; Herpestidae.